UCACCCAUCUGCACCGCCGUCCUUACUCAUCCCACCAUAAGUCAUACUGGCGGAAGAAGGUGACGAGGGUCAGAAAAGAGAUGGCGAUGAGGCCCGACUUUGGGAGCUGGACCAGCUGGUACAAGAGGAUCGUGACGACAGAGGGCAGAGGACAGAUGAAGAGGGAGAUGACGACGAGAAGGAUGACGGUGAGGGCCACAAAGGUGGCGUAGGAGGUGAUCCUGUCAUCGAAGGAGUGGUCGAGAGCUUGGAGCAGUAGCAGGCGAUGCAGACGUGAGAGGAGGG
RNAcentral lists this long non-coding RNA (285 nucleotides) under Elaeis guineensis (African oil palm). Its description in RNAcentral is "long non-coding RNA (EGUI_LNC019400)". Lineage: Eukaryota; Viridiplantae; Streptophyta; Magnoliopsida; Arecales; Arecaceae. The record is from RNAcentral.